GAUGAACGCUGGCGGCGUGCCUAAGACAUGCAAGUCGAACGGUAACGGGCCUUCGGGUGCCGACGAGUGGCGAACGGGUGAGUAAUGCAUCGGAACGUACCUUUCAGUGGGGGAUAACGUAGCGAAAGUUACGCUAAUACCGCGUAUUCUGUGAGCAGGAAAGCAGGGGAUCGCAAGACCUUGCGCUGAUUGAGCGGCCGAUGUCAGAUUAGCUAGUUGGUGAGGUAAAGGCUCACCAAGGCGACGAUCUGUAGCCGGCCUGAGAGGGCGACCGGCCACACUGGGACUGAGACACGGCCCAGACUCCUACGGGAGGCAGCAGUGGGGAAUAUUGCACAAUGGGCGAAAGCCUGAUGCAGCGACGCCGCGUGAGGGAUGAAGGCCUCGGUGUAACGUCUUACUAGUAGGGUAAGGAAGGUUAGCG
Molecule: ribosomal RNA, 424 nt
Filed under: uncultured bacterium
Lineage: Bacteria
Description: bacterial SSU rRNA
Rfam family: Bacterial small subunit ribosomal RNA
Source: RNAcentral